AUAAUAUUGAUGUUCAGGUAAGCUCACUAUUUUAUUAAUUUCAGUAGUCCUACUUACAACAUGAAGUUGCUACAAGACUGAUUUGAGGUUCCAGAGCCAUGCUGUCCUUGCUUUCCACAAAGCUGCUGAAGCCUACUUGGUUGGUUUGUUUGAGGACAUUAACUUGUGUGCCAUCCAUGCCAAGAAGUCACCAUAAUGCCCAAAGACAUUCAGCUUGCUCGCUGCAUCCGUGCUGAACGUGCUUAGGCUGAUUGAUUUCAUGCUCCUUGAUCGUUUCGGAAUACACCUUGUGUUACUAGUUUAGUAUUGUUCAAGUUUCCUAUGCCAUUGUAUGGUUCUUGACAACCUUUUAGGUUUCAAUUGAUGUCUCUAGAAUGAUUAUUUUGGUUAUGGUACAGUAGAUCAUAGAAAGAUACUACUAAUGGAAUGAUUUGAUUAUUGGUGUAAGACAGUUUAUUUUGGAUUUA
This is a non-coding RNA of Arachis ipaensis, 467 nucleotides long. The record is from RefSeq and is a predicted model, not a curated record. Lineage: Eukaryota; Viridiplantae; Streptophyta; Magnoliopsida; Fabales; Fabaceae.